GACGUAGGGCGCGAGCGUUGUCCGGAAUUAUUGGGCGUAAAGAGCUCGUAGGCGGCUUGUCACGUCGGCUGUGAAAACCCGGGGCUCAACCCCGGGCCUGCAGCCGAUACGGGCAGACUAGAGUUCGGCAGGGGAGACUGGAAUUCCUGGUGUAGCGGUGAAAUGCGCAGAUAUCAGGAGGAACACCGGUGGCGAAGGCGGGUCUCUGGGCCGAUACUGACGCUGAGGAGCGAAAGCGUGGGGAGCGAACAGG
This 253-nucleotide ribosomal RNA is filed under the name uncultured bacterium. RNAcentral's name for it is "partial 16S ribosomal RNA". It matches the Rfam family "Bacterial small subunit ribosomal RNA", at positions 524 to 776 of the family's 1533-position model. The record is from RNAcentral.